UACGGGGGGUGCGAGCGUUGUCCGGAAUCACUGGGCGUAAAGGGCGCGUAGGUGGUUUGAUAAGGGUGUGGUGAAAGUCCGGGGCUCAACCCCGGAUCUGCCGUGCCGACUGUCAAACUCGAGGACUGUAGAGGCAGACGGAAUUCCGGGUGUAGUGGUGGAAUGCGUAGAGAUCCGGAGGAAGACCGGUGGCGAAGGCGGUCUGCUGGGCAGUUUCUGACACUGAGGCGCGACAGCGUGGGGAGCAAACAGG
This 253-nucleotide ribosomal RNA is filed under the name uncultured bacterium. RNAcentral's name for it is "partial 16S ribosomal RNA". It matches the Rfam family "Bacterial small subunit ribosomal RNA", at positions 524 to 776 of the family's 1533-position model. The record is from RNAcentral.